RNAcentral lists this ribosomal RNA (253 nucleotides) under uncultured bacterium. RNAcentral describes it as "partial 16S ribosomal RNA". It matches the Rfam family "Bacterial small subunit ribosomal RNA", at positions 524 to 776 of the family's 1533-position model. The record is from RNAcentral.
UACAGAGGUGGCAAGCGUUGUUCGGAAUUACUGGGCGUAAAGGGCGCGUAGGCGGUUCGGUAAGUCCUGUGUGAAAUCCCUCGGCUCAACUGAGGAACUGCACGGGAGACUGCCGGGCUUGAGUUCGGGAGAGGGAAGCGGAAUUCCGGGUGUAGCGGUGAAAUGCGUAGAGAUCAGGAGGAACACCCGUGGCGAAGGCGGCACUCUGGGUCGGCCCUGACGCUGAGGCGCGAAAGCGUGGGGAGCGAACGGG